UUUUAAAUCCGGCUUCGGCCCGAGUUGUAAUUUGUAGAGGGUGUCUCGGGGGCGACCCGGCCUAAGUUCCUUGGAACAGGGCGUCGUAGAGGGUGAGAAUCCCGUAUGCGGCCGGCAGUCAACCCUAUGUGAGGCCCCUUCGACGAGUCGAGUUGUUUGGGAAUGCAGCUCAAAAUGGGUGGUAAAUUUCAUCUAAAGCUAAAUACCGGCCAGAGACCGAUAGCGCACAAGUAGAGUGAUCGAAAGAUGAAAAGCACUUUGAAAAGAGAGUUAAAAAGUACGUGAAAUUGUUGAAAGGGAAGCGCUUGCAACCAGACUUGUUCGCGGGGGAUCAAGCCGGCCCUUGGGCCGGCGCACUCCCCUGCCGCAGGCCAGCAUCGGUUUGGGCGGCCGGACAAAGGCCCCGGGAACGUAGCUCCCCCCGGGGAGUGUUAUAGCCCGGGGUGCAAUGCGGCCAGCCGGGACCGAGGACCACGCUCCGGCUAGGAUGCUGGCGUAAU
This 500-nucleotide ribosomal RNA is filed under the name Siphula foliacea. Its description in RNAcentral is "LSU rRNA". It matches the Rfam family "Eukaryotic large subunit ribosomal RNA", at positions 114 to 635 of the family's 3401-position model. Lineage: Eukaryota; Fungi; Ascomycota; Lecanoromycetes; Pertusariales; Icmadophilaceae. The record is from RNAcentral.